UACGUAGGGGGCUAGCGUUGUCCGGAAUCAUUGGGCGUAAAGCGCGUGUAGGCGGUCCGGUAAGUCCGCUGUGAAAGUCGAGGGCUCAACCCUCGAAUGCCGGUGGAUACUGUCGGGCUUGAGUACGGGAGAGGCGAGUGGAAUUCCUGGUGUAGCGGUGAAAUGCGCAGAUAUCGGGAGGAACACCGGUGGCGAAGGCGGUUCUCUGGGCCUUACCUGACGCUGAGGAGCGAAAGCUAGGGGAGCAAACGGG
RNAcentral lists this ribosomal RNA (253 nucleotides) under uncultured bacterium. RNAcentral's name for it is "partial 16S ribosomal RNA". It matches the Rfam family "Bacterial small subunit ribosomal RNA", at positions 524 to 776 of the family's 1533-position model. The record is from RNAcentral.